This 408-nucleotide ribosomal RNA is filed under the name Navicula sp. RNAcentral's name for it is "SSU rRNA". It matches the Rfam family "Eukaryotic small subunit ribosomal RNA", at positions 611 to 1020 of the family's 1831-position model. The record is from RNAcentral. Lineage: Eukaryota; Bacillariophyta; Bacillariophyceae; Naviculales; Naviculaceae.
UGCAUGUUGCAGUUAAAAGCUCGUAGUUGGAUUUGUGGCCUACGGUGUGUUCCGGGCACUUGUUGUCUGAGUAACCUGCUGUUGCCAUCCUUGGGUGGAACCUGUGUGGCAUUAGGUUGUCGUGCAGGGGAUGCCCAUCAUUUACUGUGAAAAAAUUAGAGUGUUCAAAGCAGGCUUAUGCCGUUGAAUAUAUUAGCAUGGAAUAAUGAGAUAGGACUUUUUUGCUAUUUUGUUGGUUUGCGCAAGAAGGUAAUGAUUAAUAGGGACAGUUGGGGGUAUUCGUAUUCCAUUGUCAGAGGUGAAAUUCUUGGAUUUUUGGAAGACGAACUACUGCGAAAGCAUUUACCAAGGAUGUUUUCAUUAAUCAAGAACGAAAGUUAGGGGAUCGAAGAUGAUUAGAUACCAAUG